UGAAAUCUCCUCAAAUAUCUCCCUAGUUCUCUUUCUUUAGAAGCCCUGUUCAUGCCUCUAACAUUCCAUACUAGACUUUUCAUAGAGAAAUAUGGCUUCUCUCCCCCUCUGGGGGUCGACCAGAUACAUCCAGGCCCAAAGCUCUCCAAUGGUAAGUGGCGAGAAAUAAUUCUGAGUAAUUGUAGUCCUAUCAAUAGCUUUAUGAUACAUAUUGCAUAAGUAAGACUACCAGCCAUCCUUGUGCCUGCUACCUGAAUGAAUUCAUUAUCAUUAUUCUUAGGAGUGAUUUGUACCAUUUGAGUAUAUUGAGUUCCAUCCUGCAACUAAAUUUUCUUCUCCCCUCUCAUUGUAGUAACCUUAGGAUCUAUAACAGCCUUUUUUUCUUGAGGUACCCACUUAGGAAUCAAUUUCUUUGGCUCUUGUGGUUUCUCUCGCUUCUGGUAGGCUUGAUCAUGGUGUUGUUGUUGCCUAGUUGGAUGAGCAGCCUCCUUUUUACAAUCAUGUCUUACUUGCAUACAAUCGUGGCAAUAUAGUGGUCGCCAAUCAUACUCAAUUUGUUGUAAGAAACUUUUCCCUGAUGGCUCAUAUACUUCAACCUCAUCUACCAUCCCCGGUGAGACAUCUAUUUUCCACCAGUACCCUUGCAAAUGAUACCCUUGUCUAUUUUUUAGUACAUUCAUUGGCAAAUAUAGGUCAUCCCAAUCUACUCGCAAUCUUGCUCAAUACAGAUCGUCCCCAACAAUUUCGUGGGAGAUUUGGGAGUCUUACCCAAAGAGGCAUGGUGCGUGGAAAUCUUAUUGAAAAUCAAAAUUAAGCGUCCAUUCCUUCAAAAUUUAGGGUUUGUUAUUCAGUGUAUAAGGUCCACCAUACAGUAUCUCAUUCUUAUCAUCCUAGCACUGAAAUCUAGCUAUGUACCACCCAUCGUCAUGAAGAAAAAGCUCAGGGGCUGUAACUUUGUUCCAUAUGCGUGCUAUGUAGCUGGUCAUAUAAGCAUAACUAGGCUUUGCCCCCAUUAUAAAGAGAACCAAAGCAUUUUCCCAUAUUUUUGUUUGUUGAGCUAUCUCAUUUUUCUUAAUUUGAACCACUGGUUUCCCAUCUACUACUAUCGGAAUGAUAAAAUCAAGUGACAUACUAUUCGUCACCGAACGAUUGUUCAUGAACAGUCCAAACCAUUCUUUAUUUCCCCCUCCGCAGGCUCUGUUUCCUUCCCCAAAUCCAGAUUCCGUCUAGCAUUAGUGAUAACUUCUCCUUCCAUAAACCGGUGUUUUACCCUUAUUAAUUCCUAGCACACUCACUUGGAUCUCAUUCCCCUCCUGCUCCUUCGUAAUCGUCGUCUCUUCUUCUUAUAGGGCUUUUUUCACCCAAAGAUUGAUACAAUAACCUCCAGAACUUGAUUCGCCAGAUUUUUCUUUACUACCUCUGAGUUACGUGGUCUUCCUCACCCUCAUUUAGCCAUGGAAACCCUUUCGGGCGCACAUUAGUAGAGAGGCGCUAAGCGUGCACCGAGAGAGGUAUUAAGUCGAUAAGCCCUUGCUAUGUUUUCAGUAAGAUUGUUGUUGCAGUCUAAUAGCUCUUUUACUUACGUGUUAUUUAAUUAUUAAAGACUCCACCAAUAAGUAUUUUGUGAAACGGUCAAAUUAUUUUUAAUGAUGCGUGUACUAUUAUUUUUUCUUUUUAACCAUUUUUUUGUUUGAACCUUAAGUAGCCAUGUUUAACUAAAUACAUAAAUUUAGUCCAUUGCAUUCAUGAAUCAAAAUGAUCUAUUCUCUGCUCAUUUUUCUAGCUCAAAAAUAUUUAUUUUAAAUAAUAUUACUUCAGAAAUUCAAUAUUAAAUGCUGAUAACUAGUUUUAAUUAUAUAUUGUUAAUAUUAAAGAAAUAUUUUUUAAUAUUUAAAAAACAUCUAAUUACUAAAAAAAAUAUUAUAAAUUAUGUGUUGUAUUUAAUAAUUUUUAAUAAUUUAAAAUAAUAUUAAAUUAAAAUGAGGUAACAAAUAAAUUGAAAUUGAACAUCACUUUAUAUUUUUAUUAUGAACUAUAGAAGAAAACUGUUUAGAUCCACUAUAAGUAGGUAGAUAUGUAGCAAAAUUCAGUCACAUCAAUAUUACAUUUCUGAAUGUUUGCCUCUUCAUGCUUUUAAUUACUUCGAUCGGAACUCGCCUCGUAAAUUUUAAUAAAAGACUUUAAAAUAUACAAAUAUACACAAGAAAAUAAUAACUUAGAGUUAUAUUUUUUAUUUUCAUAUGCUUGUUGUUUUGAAUGUAAAUGACAUAAAUAAAACUAAAGAUUAAUUGUACUUAAUAAAAUGUCAUUAGUGUGUUUGCAUUAUAUUAUCUUCGAUAUAAUUAUAAAAAAUAUAUUUAUUAAUAUAAAGACUUGAGUUAUUUAAUUCAAAGUUCUAAAAUAUUUUAGUAGCUCACCCAUGAGCCACCCCUAACAAUUCUCUAUCUUUCUUCUAUGACAUAUUCAGUUAUAGCUUAAAGUAAAUUCUUGAAUCUCAAUCUCUCCCCAAGAGGAACUGGAAAAAGUUGAUGAGACCAUUACGCCUUUUGAAGAUGUUACUUAAUACUCUUAACCUAAAUUCAUUAGCAGAGUUGAUGGUCUUAUUGUGGUCAUUUCUACUUAAUAUAUACUUUGGAGCACCAUUGCUACGUACGUACUUUUCUCCUUGUAGCCUUUAAAAAGUAUUUACUCAAGUAGAAUUAUGAUAAGCUAGCAAUGAAAUGUGAUUAAGUGAUGACAUCGAUCAAAUCUAGCAUCUGCCUUUUUAGCUUGUCUUUCUUAUCCAAAAAAAUUUAGCAAUACUUGAUUUUCUUCCACAACAUUCAGCCUAGCUCCUCCAUCACUAAUUUCAUCCAAAGAGGAAAUAAUGUCGCUGAUUUUGUAUAUCAAAAUAAAUUAAAUAAUAGAAGAAUCUUUUGCGGACGUACAGCAGACUGAAAUAAUACAUAGUAGUGAUAUUAAGACUCAAAAAUUUGAAAGAUCCUAUUUAAUAUAAGCAUAAUUAACAGUCAAAUCAUUCACUAGUUGUGAAUUGUUUCUUCCUCUAUUGCCUACCAGUAUCUGAUUGCAUCUUUGAUAUAUAUGAUAUUGAUAUCAUUCACCUUGUGUUGAAUGGGCAAAGUAAUUGAGAUACAACAGAGGCCAGUGAAAGCAGAUACAAAUUUUUUCUUCUGCAUCAUUGCAUGCAGUACUGGUCAAGAUUUUUCUGUUUUGGAGAUUGACUCGUGUGUGUGAGGCUCUCAUUAUUAACAACAGUCCAAACAACUUAAGGGGGUGUUUGCUCUUCCA
RNAcentral lists this long non-coding RNA (3288 nucleotides) under Capsicum annuum. RNAcentral describes it as "long non-coding RNA (CANN_LNC004120)". The record is from RNAcentral. Lineage: Eukaryota; Viridiplantae; Streptophyta; Magnoliopsida; Solanales; Solanaceae.